GUGAGGAAUAUUGGUCAAUGGACGAGAGUCUGAACCAGCCAAGUCGCGUGAAGGAAGAAGGUUCUAUGGAUUGUAAACUUCUUUUGUAAGGGAAUAAAAAAGAGUACGUGUACUCUAUUGUAUGUACUUUACGAAUAAGGAUCGGCUAACUCCGUGCCAGCAGCCGCGGUAAUACGGAGGAUCCGAGCGUUAUCCGGAUUUAUUGGGUUUAAAGGGUGCGUAGGCGGACUUAUAAGUCAGCGGUGAAAGUUUGCAGCUUAACUGUAAAAUUGCCGUUGAAACUGUUAGUCUUGAGUGUAAAUGAGGUAGGCGGAAUGUGUUGUGUAGCGGUGAAAUGCUUAGAUAUAACACAGAACACCAAUUGCGAAGGCAGCUUACUGGGAUACAACUGACGCUGAGGCACGAAAGCGUGGGGAUCAAACAGGAUUAGAUACCCUAGUAGUCC
RNAcentral lists this ribosomal RNA (445 nucleotides) under uncultured bacterium. Its description in RNAcentral is "partial 16S ribosomal RNA". It matches the Rfam family "Bacterial small subunit ribosomal RNA", at positions 354 to 796 of the family's 1533-position model. The record is from RNAcentral.